AAUUUUUUUUUACUGUUCAUUUGUUCUCUAUUUUAUAAAAAAUAUAUAACAAUCAUAUGGGUUAGUCAUUAGGCACACAAAACUCAAACACAAUAGCUGCUCCUCAGUUCGUGACCUUACAACUCACACUCUCGCAGCAUCAAUUUAGGUUUUAAACUUUCAAUCAAUUAAGGUGAAGAGGAAGACAAGGAUUGCAGAGGGCUGCCGCCUGCCAGAGGCCAGAGAGCUUACCGGAAAAAGGUAAAUUCCAAUUCUUUAAACCCUAAACUAUAUCUAACACAAUUAGAAUCUACUGAAACUUAUUAUUUGUGAUUUGUGAGCUAUAAUUUAUAAAUUUGUACUUGUACAACAUCACAAUUCACAACAUAUAGGUUAGUCUUGAUUUAACACUUUAUUGUACACAUCAAAGUUUAUGGAUGAUUUUGGGUAAUUGAGUUGUUCUUAUAUUUUUGUACAUUUUGUAGUUAAUUUCAGGGGCCAAUUUCAUAUAAUAGUUUUUGGUGCAGAUUAUUCUAUAAUGGAUAGAAUAAUCUGCAUUUCCAGCAUUUCCAGAAUAUGACGACUCGAAGGAUUGAUUUACCACGCUUACGGAAUGAAUAAAGGUACUUACUAAUAAUUUUACUUAUGCAGUAUAUCACAACAUAAAUUUUAAUGCUUGCUUAUAACUUUAGUUCUAAUAGUAUAACUGAUAUUUUGCAUAAAAUCAAGUCUCAUGCUUCCUGAGUAGUAUAAUUCAUGCUUAAAUUAGUGUAUAUAUGGACCCCCCUAGGAAAAGUUUCUGCGUCCGUCACUG
This 793-nucleotide long non-coding RNA is filed under the name Daucus carota (carrot). RNAcentral describes it as "long non-coding RNA (DCAR_LNC005735)". The record is from RNAcentral. Lineage: Eukaryota; Viridiplantae; Streptophyta; Magnoliopsida; Apiales; Apiaceae.